Molecule: ribosomal RNA, 704 nt
Filed under: bacterium IMCC7668
Lineage: Bacteria
Description: bacterial SSU rRNA
Rfam family: Bacterial small subunit ribosomal RNA
Source: RNAcentral
GAUGAACGCUAGCGGCAGGCUUAACACAUGCAUGUCGAGGGGUAACAGAGGUAGCUUGCUACUUGCUGACGACCGGCGCACGGGUGCGUAACGCGUAUACAAUCUGCCUUAUACAGAGGGAUAGCCUUUAGAAAUGAAGAUUAAUACCUCAUGGUCUAUUAAUAUAGCAUUAUAUAAAUAGUAAAGCUUCGGCGGUAUAAGAUGAGUAUGCGUCCUAUUAGUUAGUUGGUAAGGUAACGGCUUACCAAGACUACGAUAGGUAGGGGCCCUGAGAGGGGGAUCCCCCACACUGGUACUGAGACACGGACCAGACUCCUACGGGAGGCAGCAGUGAGGAAUAUUGGACAAUGGAGGAAACUCUGAUCCAGCCAUGCCGCGUGCAGGAAGACGGCCCUAUGGGUUGUAAACUGCUUUUAUAUAGGAAGAAACCUUUUCACGUGUGAGAAGCUGACGGUACUAUAAGAAUAAGGACCGGCUAACUCCGUGCCAGCAGCCGCGGUAAUACGGAGGGUCCGAGCGUUAUCCGGAAUCAUUGGGUUUAAAGGGUCCGUAGGCGGGAAUCUAAGUCAGUGGUGAAAUCUUACAGCUCAACUGUAAAAUUGCCAUUGAUACUGGGUUUCUUGAAUUAGUGUGAAGUGAUUAGAAUGUGUAGUGUAGCGGUGAAAUGCAUAGAUAUUACACAGAAUACCAAUUGCGAAGGCAGA